AGCGAACGCUGGCGGCAGGCCUAACACAUGCAAGUCGAACGAACUCUUCGGAGUUAGUGGCGGACGGGUGAGUAACACGUGGGAACGUGCCUUUUGGUUCGGAAUAACUCAGGGAAACUUGUGCUAAUACCGAAUGUGCCCUUCGGGGGAAAGAUUUAUCGCCAUUAGAGCGGCCCGCGUCUGAUUAGCUAGUUGGUGAGGUAACGGCUCACCAAGGCGACGAUCAGUAGCUGGUCUGAGAGGAUGACCAGCCACACUGGGACUGAGACACGGCCCAGACUCCUACGGGAGGCAGCAGUGGGGAAUCUUGCGCAAUGGGCGAAAGCCUGACGCAGCCAUGCCGCGUGAAUGAUGAAGGUCUUAGGAUUGUAAAAUUCUUUCGCCGGGGACGAUAAUGACGGUACCCGGAGAAGAAGCCCCGGCUAACUUCGUG
RNAcentral lists this ribosomal RNA (433 nucleotides) under uncultured bacterium. RNAcentral describes it as "partial 16S ribosomal RNA". It matches the Rfam family "Bacterial small subunit ribosomal RNA", at positions 29 to 507 of the family's 1533-position model. The record is from RNAcentral.